GACGAACGCUGGCGGCGUGCUUAACACAUGCAAGUCGAACGGACAGGCCCUGCUUUCACUGUUCUCGCGUGGCGAACGGGUGAGUAACUCACAGGUGGUCUGCCCUCCACUUCGGCUUAAGCUUCUUCAACUGAGUCUAGUACCUGCUAGAAACUAUCUUUAGUGGGGUGGUUGGAAAGUUUUUUCGGUGUAUGAUGUGCUUGCGAGCUAUCAGCUUGUUGGUGGGGUAAUGGCGUAACAAGGCGGCGACGGGUAGCCGGCAUGAGAGGGUGUACGGCCACACUGGGAUUGAGAGAGAGCCCGGAGUCCGACGGGAGGCAGCAGGGGGGAAUAUCGGACAAUGCGAGCAAGCCUGAUGCAGCGAGGCCGCGUGGGGGAUGAAGGCCGUCGGGUUGUAAACUCCUAUGGCUAGGGACGAAGGUUUGUUGUGACGGUACCUAGAUAAGAAGCACCGGCUAACUACGUG
Molecule: ribosomal RNA, 466 nt
Filed under: uncultured bacterium
Lineage: Bacteria
Description: partial 16S ribosomal RNA
Rfam family: Bacterial small subunit ribosomal RNA
Source: RNAcentral